GGUCAAGCGAACAAGUGCAUGUGGUGGAUGCCUUGGCGAUCACAGGCGAUGAAGGACGCGGUAGCCUGCGAAAAGCGGAGGGGAGCUGGCAAACGAGCUUUGAUCCUCCGAUAUCCGAAUGGGGAAACCCACUCCUAAUGGAGUACCCUUGACUGAAUACAUAGGUCAUGUGGAGCGAACGCGGUGAACUGAAACAUCUAAGUAACCGCAGGAAAAGAAAUCAACCGAGAUUCCCAAAGUAGUGGCGAGCGAAAUGGGAUCAGCCUGUACUCUUUAUUUUUAUUGUUAGCUGAACGCUCUGGAAAGUGCGGCCAUAGCAGGUGAUAGCCCUGUAAGCGAAAACAGUAGAAAAGAACUAGGUGUACGACAAGUAGGGCGGGACACGUGAAAUCCUGUCUGAAGAUGGGGGGACCAUCCUCCAAGGCUAAAUACUCGUGAUCGACCGAUAGUGAACCAGUACCGUGAGGGAAAGGCGAAAAGAACCCCGGGAGGGGAGUGAAAUAGAUCCUGAAACCG
Molecule: ribosomal RNA, 516 nt
Organism: Candidatus Burkholderia verschuerenii
Lineage: Bacteria; Pseudomonadati; Pseudomonadota; Betaproteobacteria; Burkholderiales; Burkholderiaceae
Rfam family: Bacterial large subunit ribosomal RNA
Source: Rfam